RNAcentral lists this ribosomal RNA (455 nucleotides) under uncultured bacterium. RNAcentral describes it as "bacterial SSU rRNA". It matches the Rfam family "Bacterial small subunit ribosomal RNA", at positions 23 to 468 of the family's 1533-position model. The record is from RNAcentral.
CUCACACUGGCCGCUCGUCUUUACAGCCUUACACAUGCAAGUCGAACGGCAGCGCGGGAGCAAUCCUGGCGGCGAGUGGCGAACGGGUGAGUAAUACAUCGGAACGUGCCCAAUCGUGGGGGAUAACGCAGCGAAAGCUGUGCUAACUACCGCAUACGAUACUACGGAUGAAAGCAGGGGAUCGCAAGACCUUGCGCGAAUGGAUGCGGCCGAUGGCAGAUUAGGUAAGUUAGGUGAGGUAAAGGCUCACCAAGCCUUCGAUCUGUAAGCUGGUCUGAGAGGACGACCAGCCACACUGGGACUAGAGACACUGGCCCAGACUCCUACGGGAGGCAGCAGUGGGGAAUUUUGGACAAUGGGCGAAAGCCUGAUCCAGCCAUGCCGCGUGCAGGAUGAAGGCCUUCGGGUUAGUAAACUGCUUUUGUACGGAACGAAACGGCUUCUUAUAAAGGGUU